UUGAGGCUAUGAUAUGAGAUGAUAUGGGCCAUGAGGGAUCUUAGGGCCAAAAUUGGGGUCUUACACCAACAAUUGGUUUGUUUGGGUGGUGUUUUGUAUUAGAGGGUUAAACACCGCCCCCAUUUGUUGCGUCAACAUUUGGACCAUAUCAUGAUUGCUCUCGUCCAUUUUUUGUCUAAUUACUUGCGCAGAUUUAUUUGUUAUCGCUGGCAUGUAAAGUGGUUG
This 225-nucleotide long non-coding RNA is filed under the name Lathyrus oleraceus (garden pea). RNAcentral's name for it is "Pisum sativum (pea) long non-coding RNA (PSAT_LNC005247)". The record is from RNAcentral. Lineage: Eukaryota; Viridiplantae; Streptophyta; Magnoliopsida; Fabales; Fabaceae.